RNAcentral lists this ribosomal RNA (253 nucleotides) under uncultured bacterium. RNAcentral's name for it is "partial 16S ribosomal RNA". It matches the Rfam family "Bacterial small subunit ribosomal RNA", at positions 524 to 776 of the family's 1533-position model. The record is from RNAcentral.
GACAGAGGUCCCGAGCGUUAGGCGGAAUCACUGGGCUUAAAGCGUGUGUAGGCGGAUGCCUAAGUACCUUGUGAAAUCCCACGGCUCACCCGUGGAACUGCUUGGUAUACUGGGUGUCUUGAGCCACUUAGGGGCUACCGGAACAAAUGGUGGAGCGGUGAAAUGCGUAGAUAUCAUUUGGUACGCCAAUGGUGAAAACAGGUAGCUGGGAGUGUGCUGACGCUGAGACACGAAAGCCAGGGGAGCAAACGGG